UGGGGAAUCUUGCGCAAUGGGCGAAAGCCUGACGCAGCAACGCCGCGUGAGCGAAGAAGGCCUUCGGGUUGUAAAGCUCUGUCAGGAGGAAAGAAGGCACCUGGGUUAAUAGCCCAAGGGCUGACGGUACCUCCAAAGGAAGCCACGGCUAAAUACGUGCCAGCAGCCGCGGUAAUACGUAGGUGGCAAGCGUUGUCCGGAAUCAUUGGGCGUAAAGAGCGCGUAGGUGGCUUGUCAGGUACGGUGUGAAAUUUCGGGGCGCAACCACGAACCUGCAUCGGAAACCGGCUUGCUAGAGGCUGGGAGAGGAGAGUGGAAUUCCUUGUGUAGCGGUGAAAUGCGUAGAUAUCAGGAGGAACACCGGUAGCGAAGGCGGCUCUCUGGAACAGUACUGACGCUGAGGCGCGAAAGCUAGGGGAGCGAACA
Molecule: ribosomal RNA, 426 nt
Filed under: uncultured prokaryote
Description: bacterial SSU rRNA
Rfam family: Bacterial small subunit ribosomal RNA
Source: RNAcentral